UUAAAGGUAAUUGCUUUUGACUGCUUGAGU
RNAcentral lists this non-coding RNA (30 nucleotides) under Mus musculus (house mouse). The record is from RNAcentral. Lineage: Eukaryota; Metazoa; Chordata; Mammalia; Rodentia; Muridae.